AGUGAACGCUGGCGGUAGGCCUAACACAUGCAAGUCGAACGGCAGCACAGUAAGAGCUUGCUCUUACGGGUGGCGAGUGGCGGACGGGUGAGGAAUACAUCGGAAUCUACUUUUUCGUGGGGGAUAACGUAGGGAAACUUACGCUAAUACCGCAUACGACCUACGGGUGAAAGCAGGGGAUCUUCGGACCUUGCGCGAUUGAAUGAGCCGAUGUCGGAUUAGCUAGUUGGCGGGGUAAAGGCCCACCAAGGCGACGAUCCGUAGCUGGUCUGAGAGGAUGAUCAGCCACACUGGAACUGAGACACGGUCCAGAUUCCUACGGGAGGCAGCAGUGGGGAAUAUUGGACAAUGGGCGCAAGCCUGAUCCAGCCAUACCGCGUGGGUGAAGAAGGCCUUCGGGUUGUAAAGCCCUUUUGUUGGGAAAGAAAAGCAGCAGGUUAAUACCCAGCUGUUCUGACGGUACCCGAAGAAUAAGCACCGGCUAACUUCGUG
This 492-nucleotide ribosomal RNA is filed under the name uncultured bacterium. Its description in RNAcentral is "partial 16S ribosomal RNA". It matches the Rfam family "Bacterial small subunit ribosomal RNA", at positions 29 to 507 of the family's 1533-position model. The record is from RNAcentral.